GGCGGCUUCGCCCCUCGGCGCCGUCUGGUCCCCUUGGGGGGCGCGGCGCGGCCCGCCGGACCUGCGGCCGUUGCUAACGGCUCUCCUGGGGCCGCCGCCGUCCCCCUCCCCCAGGGCCGCCGGCCCCGCAGGGGGAGCGGGGCGCUCCUCGGCCCCCUGUGCCGCCCCGGCCCCGCUCUCGCCGCGGGCUCCGCGCCCGGGUGAAGAAAUCCGCCUUCCCGCGCUCUCCCCGAGAAGUCGUGCGGAGGCGGCGGAGGCUUGCGAGCUGCCACGGGGCUCGCCCCGGUCCUGCCUGCGGGCCUCCCGCUUGUCCUCCUCCCCUCGCGGGGGAGAGGCGUUCAGAGGCGUGCAGGAGGCCGAGCGCGGGGAAGUCACGGAGGGGCAAAUCCAUGAAGCUGUCGGACUUUGGUAUCCUACCUGGUAGUAACGUGUUUUCCUCGAGGACAACGCAGGAGGGGAUGAAAAAGGAGGGAAAAUAUUACAUAUAUAUUUAGUUUAUGCUAGUGGUAGGCCCAAAGUGUGAGAUCAGGUUCUUGUUAAACAUUCUGAUGUUUUUAAGGAAUCUGUUAUUAAGCUGAAGGUAGCCUCUUGGGUAUGAAAGGAAUGGCAAAUAAGAGUGUGUAACAUUAGUAUGCAGUGGACUUGAUACAUUUGGGGGUUUUAUUUCUUGCUUUUAGGAGACAGAUCUUGAAAGAUACUAGUGUGUGCUUCUGCAGCUCACUGAACUUAGAGCUGAGGAUGCUUAAACAUUUCAUGGGAAUGGAACAGGAAGGAUUCUUGUUAGGCAGUAAUGUUUUUGUAAUAGUUGUUAUCCUCUUGAAAUGCAGAAGGGAACAUAUUUUAAUCUGUUAACUAAGUUAAAAUGCUCAAAGAAAAUACCUUUGAGACAAAACAAGGGAAAUGUUGUUAUAAUGGGUUUGUUUUCUAUUGCAUAUGUUGCAGUUCUGGUCUGAAAGAAGGUGUGUGACGAGCUCUAGGAUUGUUUUUGUAUUUGUAUCAGCAAGCACAUCAUAUUUUAGCAACAGUCAUCACCCGAAAUACAAUCCAUAAAGUAUACGAGCAUGGGUGUAAUUCUCAGUAAAAAAGAUAACAAGUUGUUGGUUUUUUGUUUUUUUGUUUUUUGAAGGUAUCAUUUUAGUGGAGGAGAAGUGUCCAUUUACCUAGAAAAGAAACUGUCAGAUGCACAAACCCCCCCCCCAAAGAAAAAAAAAAAAGAGAAGGGUUUGUGUCUGUCUUGCUGCCAGGGGACUUGCAGAGUUAAGCUGAUGAAGAAUGCUUGAGAUUCAAAAUAGGCAGGUCCAGAACAAAGUAUCAGAAGUGUUCAAGAGAGCGAAAAUGCAUGAAUAAUCUAUCUUAAUGUAUUUUAAACUUAAUAACAUACAGCACACUGUAGUCACAUCUGAAAAGAACCAUUGUUUUUCCAGUUCUUCUAUCUGAAAUUAAUUUUACGGGAUUCUAUUUUCUUGUUUCAGGAGCAAUGACAGUGCAUUAGCAGAGUAAAUAGAAUGCAUCUUCUCUCCAAAAGUUUACAAUCUGGCUUUUAAUAUCAUAUAAGGAAUGGAAGCUAUGUGUAAAGGAGGCCAAAUAGUUGAGGAGACCAAAUAUAAAGACAAGAUUUGUAAUACAGAUAUGCUAAUCCAAUAGCCAUAACACACUUAGCUGUAGAACAGUUUUUGAAGAACAAAAUAAAGACAUGGAGAUGAAUGAAAAGUGGGAUGAAAUGCAACAUAGUUUUAGGAAAAAUAAUUUGUGGCAGACCAACUUAUCUUACACUAGGAUUUUCUAGAAAAAAAUACACUAGAUCUGAUGUGUUUCAUCUUCAGUAAUAUUUGAUAUUUUUACAUAAUUUCUCACAUGGUAAAUGGGAAAAUUGAGAUUGAUUAAAUUGUAAGGCAACUUAGGAAUGCAAUGAGAGAUAACAGGUGGAAGGAGGAAGUUUUGAUGGAAAGGAGGCUACAGGCUGAAUUGUUCAAAGACUAUUUCAGAAAAUAUUUUUUCAUUAGUGACAUUUGUGAAACGUUAGGAUUGUGCUGACGAAAUUUUAUAAUGGCACAAAACUGGGAGGCAUUGGCAACGGAGAGGAGGAUCGGAAUAUCUGUCUGCAAGCAAGAUGAAUCAAAACAAAGAUUAAUAGAAUUGGAUGAGAUUUGGCAAUAUAGAAGAUAUAGCUAUGCAAAUGUAAGCUAAUCAUAACUUAUUCUAGACAAGCUCAUCAUCUGGCAGUGAAUUACCUGAUGUUAUAGUCAGUGGUAGAAUGAUAGCAUAUCACUGAUGUGAUGUGGCUGAGGGGAAAAAAAAGGUAGUGUCUUAGGAUGUUUUAGGAGAGGGAUUUCCAGUAUCCAGAAAAUAUUAAUGUAUGUGGUUCUAGUGAGACCUUAUCUGUAGCCUAAUGUAUAACUAAUCACGCAUGUUCAAAUAAAUGGAUUCGAACUUGUACAGAUGCAGAAAAGGACUAUAGGGAUGUUAAGAGGAAUUGAGAGGCUGCUUACUGAAAGGCACAAAAGUGACAGCUACAUGGUAUUUGUAUAGGGAAGCAAAAGAAAUAUGUGGGCUCAAGAUUUGUUUUAGCAAGCAGAGCAAAUGGGUAUAAAGGGGUAACGAACAGUUUAUUAGAAGUUACAGGAAAACAUCUAUCAGACCACUGAUGUUUUAAAGCAGUUUUAAAUAAAGUCUAAUUUUUUUUUAAUGAAGUUUGAACCCACAGAAGAACAUCAUGUGGUUCUCUGCCGUGGUGGGAGCUUGACUCAGGAAUCCUGAAUAUCUCUUCUUCUAAUUCUGUAUUCUUGUGCUCUGGUAAAAUGCAUUAUGACUGAGAUGGAUGUGUAGAUUUGUGGUGGGCACAUUUUUGAAAGUAUCGCUGGUUUUUUUUUUUAUCAUCUUUGUUUCCAUUUUCAUUAAUCAAGCUUUUACCUCUUCCUUGGGACACUUACCAGAAGCAGAAUAGUUCAGUUACAUUCGUUACCAAUUGCUUAUCAUCUUCACACUCUGAAUGUGCUGACAGAAAACAUGUUCUUGACUUCACUGACUUUAACUUUUGGAGUAGACAAACUGUAUGAUUUGGACUCCUUAUAUGUGGAAUGAUGGUUGAAGGUCUCCUCACACAGCACUGCCAUGACUCUUCAUCCCCAGAUGGGCUAUUCUUAGAAGUCUUUAUGGAACAAUUUUAAGGAAAUAAUUUAAAUGAAACCUCCAAAGUCAUUUAGGGCAAGAAAAUACUACAUUUUUAAGUGUAUGUAUAAUCAGCUCACUUGGGAUGUUACCUGAGGCCUGUCUUUGUUCUGCUUUUGUUUUCAGAACCUGUUUUUUGCAUACAGCAUUUAGUGCUGCACUGAAGAAUUAACCAAAGAGCCUUAAAAUUAGAACAUUGCUUUUCAUAACAAGGCUCCAUGCAGACAUUUUAGAUUUUUACCUGGCAUUGUUGCUAUUUGGGAAAUCUCUACAAAGUGGGGAAUUAAACCAUCACUGCUCAGUCAUCCUUUCUCAUUUUUUUUCUUUCAGUCCACAGCUGUAUCAGGUUAUUCAGAGAGAAAGAAUCUGUUUAAAGGCAAUAACUUCCCAUUCAGUGGUCAAUAGAAAAUGAAGUGAUGGAGUCAAUCUAAUCGUCAAUGUAUACAUUAAGUGCUACCAGUGGCACUUUUUCUAGAUGCUGAAACAGAGGACUGAAUGGAUUAUAGGGAUUAAACUUCCUUCAUCCCCCUAGAGGUGAACAAGUCAUGUGAAAAUGGAGGGCUUAUUUGGUAGGAGACAGUAUGAAAGACUUGGAAGACAAAAAAGAAAUACAUAUCUCUAAAUGGUUUCUUGCACACUUUCUCUGUAAUAGAUGGUGGUAUGUGAGCUGCAGACAGAAACUUGAAGCUUACAGGGCAGAUAUAUGACUGUAAAGAGAUUCUGUGAGUAAGGAAAGAAACACAGUUGGUCAUUAUUUCACCGGGAUUCCUGGAGGAUUUUUUUUCUCUUCUAUCAUAAGUUCCUCUUUUAAAAAAAAAAAAAAAAAAAGAAAGAAAAAAAAAAAAGAGAGAGAGAGAGAGAGAAAAGAAACCUAUUCAUAGCAUACACUUGUUCUUUUCUUGACCUUUUUAAAUUAAAAGGAAGCCAUGGACUUUCUCACUGAAAUGAUGGGAAGACAGUGUUAAGACUACAGCAAAGGUAAUGUUGUGAAAUUGGCCUGAUUUGGGCCAGGAUUUGCCCAUGUCACCCUGCCAGGCUUUCCACUGCAAAAAGAGGCACUUCAUCAGGGCCACCAGUUACUUGUGUUCCUCUGUGCUAUACUGUGCCUCUUGAAAUACUACUGAUUCUAGGAGCAUCUUUCUGGAAGUGAGAAACAUUUGUGUAAUAAGGCUGAUAAUUACGUUCACAUGAUUCAAUAACAAGAGCAAAAUGGGAACAGAGCCUAAUGGUUUCAUAUUAAAAAGGAUGCUAGUAGUGCUACUAAGAGUAGGGCAAGUCUGUUCUUUUGCUGGUUUUAUACAAGUAAGUAUGGACAGAAUGUGUGUGUGUGUGUGUAUACUCACAACACACACACACACACACACACACACACACACACACACACACACACACACACACACACACACACACACACACACACACACCAACUUUGCUGCGUUUGCUAGCUGUUGAAUAGAAAUAUCAAAGGAUUACUAUAUAAAAGUAAUGGGAACUUGCACUCUGAACAAAAUUUGGGUAUGCCAGAGCUUGGUUUUGAUAGCAUUAAGCUUGGAAAGAGAUUGUUUGCUGCAUCCUGUAGCAACAUUUUAGGGUUUUUUUUGUUUUUCUUUUUUGUUUUUAGUAAUUAUUAGUAUGAAUACUUUGGAGCCAGGUCUUCAGCUGCUGCAGAUCUUUGGUUCUUUAUUGAUGUCUCCAAGAGGAUAGUGAUUUGCAUCAGCUGAAUGGAUGGCCUUCUAGGUGGGUGUGUUUAGUGGUGUCUUUUGGCUUAUAUAAUUUACUUCCUCCUAUUCACUGGAUAAAAAAAAAACGGUCGGAGGAGGGGCAGGGGUAAUCUUCCCAAUAAGCUCCUCCCAUAUGAAAAAACAGUUCAGCACCUCUGACAUGGUUGUAUAGUUGUUACAAAAGCUGUUGGAUGUUGUUAUAGCAGCAUCUAUAGGAGCAGAAAUACAAAGAAGAGAAAUACAAAGUUACGCAUUCUCCUGGCCUCUCUCCAGCUUAUGAAAACCUCGGAUUGAAGGAAAUGUCAUCUUUUGGAGCUAUUUGUUUCCUGGAGUACCUUCUUAUGCAGAAACUUCUCUCAAAACUUAAUCGAAGUAGAAUACCUGAUUAUCAAGUAGGAUAAAAAUACUAUUUGUACCUAUUUCAGAGGGGUGAUGGUCAUUUCUGUCUUGAGUGGCUCUUUAGAAAGAGUCUGAAUGAUUGCUGCUGUUCUUACUGUGGUGUGUAGGUAGUUGACAGCUUGCUUUAAAUUAUGAAGGUGAAAUGAGUUUUGCUCUUCCACUAUCAAGCACUAAGAAGUAUUGACAGUCAGAGAAGCCAGGCCUCACUUUCUUGAGUGAGGCAACAUUCUACUACCAUAAAUUCCACAACACAGUAUCACCCCUUAAUCCUUAUUUUUCUAUUAUCAUCCAUGGGUGAGGGACUAGAGCAUCUAAAGAUAAAAUUUAGGCCACCACACCACCUGUUCUGGGUGCCACCUAACCGUGAGAGGACCACUAUUCCUGCCCCUAGCUUUCUCUGCCUGCCAAGGUGCUGAUGACUGGAUAACAUUGCUGCGACCUGCACCUUAGCGCUGAUGAACAGUUUAGUUGCACUGGGCUGUACCAACAAAGCAUUUGCCUGCUGAUGUUACAUGUGAGGUCUGUCCUGCCAGGUGCUCCUAAAGCGAUCUGCGGUGGCAGGGCCUCACAAGGUGCACGGAGACACGCUGUGUGUGAGUGGUCUGUCAGUUCAAGUGCGUAAGGCAUGGGAAACUGAAGUUCAGAUCCCGUGCCUGCCUCUGCACCUUGCUUUUGCUUUGUUCUUCCCAGGACUUCUGAGGUACUUAGAGAUGAUGGAAGAAAUACUAUUCUUUGGAGAGGAGCAAGUACAAGGCUGCAUCUCUAAAGCUAAUGAGGUUAGGGCAACCAUCUACCAUGAUGGAUAGCUGGGAUUAAAAUCCUUACGGUAAUGGAGAGUUGUAUAUAAUACUGGGAAUGACUAGUUCCAGGGUCUCUUUAAAAUGCCAGCAUUUAAUGGUUAGAACUCCUUUGGAGGUACAGAAGCCAGACCAUUUUAAAAAAAUAAUGGGGGGUGGGGGGGGAGAGGAAGAAACAUAAUCAGGUGUAAACAACAGGAGGCUGAGAUUUUGCUCUCAGCUGCUGUUCCUAUUAGUGUCCUAGUUCAACCUAGUGCCAGUGUCUUCAUGUGCAAAGUAGGAGUGAUGUAUUCUACUACACAGGCACUCUCUGAAAUGUAUUUCAUGUUCAUGGAAUACUUGGAGGCAGAAAGUGUUCUAGAAGCACCAAGUUAUGGUAGGGGCACCAAAACUAUCUGCUAAACAGUGGACCUUUGAGGAGACAGUCCAGGAAGAAGGUGGUUUUUGUUUGUGGUUUUUUUUUUUUUUUUUUUUAAAGUCUGCAUUGACAAAGCUGGCAUAUAGAAGAGGGUAAGCAGAUACGUGGAAGAGAGGAAAUGUUGUGUGGCUCCUGGUCUGUGAAUAUGAUGCAAACUUGACCUAGACUAACGCUCUCAGCAACAACAGAUGCAUCGGGUGGAUGCAGGGGGAGGGCUAGAGACCAUUUGGCAUGUGACAUACUCCACAAAAGAAUCCAGUGGAAGAGGAAUGAGUUGAUAUACUACAACGUAGUGGAUGGACACUAGGUUACAGAUGGGGAGACAAAGGUUUAUUAUGAAAUGUAGUCCAUCAUCUGAGUCUGAAAGUGAAUGGAUCAUGUGAGAUGAUGCUGAGUGUUGCAGUGGCAAGAGGGACACCUGUUCCUGGACUUUGUUCAUUUUACAUGAACAAGUAUCCAUGUCACUUAUCCACAGUUACUAAACUAAAUAGCAGUGACAUUAAAGAUUAAACAAUGAGAAUACACUAUUUUGUUUCUACAGAUGGUAUUUCCAGCUCAAAAUCAAUACAUUUCAGUGGGUUGUAGGACUGAAGGUUAAUCUUCUGUUGCCACUGCCAAUGGUAUGUCUGUCCACUAAAUAUGUUCUGCAGUUGGAUUUGCAGUAUAUGCACCUAUUAGAGUUCUUUUGAAGAAGUACUUUUUUCAUUUCCAGUAUUGCUGGUGAUUAAAGAAAAAAAGGCAAAAAAAGCUUCAUAUGCAUGAUCUACUCAAGCUGUUCCCUGCUCUUCAUGGGGAGGAGAUCUGGAGCUCCUCACUGUAAUCGCUUCUAGGAACCCUUAACAGGGAAUGGCAACAAAAAGAGGAAUUUAGAGAUUUUACAAGAGACUGCAGAGCUCACCUGUUAACUUGUAGUAGGUGAAAGUGAAAAACUGCUUUAUAAAGUACUAGAAGUUUGUAGUCCCACUUAUAAUGUAUCCUUUGUAAGUGGAAUUGAACUGACUUUCUCAUAAAGAUCAAUGUGUGUCUGCAUGGCAAGUUGAAUUUAAAAUCUGUGGACUCAACUAGUUAAUGUGGCAACCACUGUCUUGCAUUAGGUUCUGUUUAGCCUCUGUUGCUACAUUUACCUGCAGUGAUUUGUUGUUAAGAAAUUCAGGACUUUAAUCUCUGAAGCAAAAGGGGAGGUUGCUAAAGCUCAGGUUUUAUUUAAGAAACAACAAGAAGAGUGUAGAUGUUAUACAGUGUCGUAACUCAAUUUCAAAACUAAGACAGCUGACUAGUGUUCACAGGUUCCUGUCCUUCUAAUAGAAGCUAUCAUCAGAAGUGUGCUAUUGCAGAAUUAGAGAGACAUACAAAUCAAAACUUGCCCUUGCUUGCUUACUAUGGUAGUUAAUGUUACCGGUUCUAUCACUUUCUCCCAGUCUGCUUCUCUCUGGCUUGUUUACACCUGUAAGCUUUGCAGAGCAGGGAUAAUCUGUUCUGUGGUUAUUCAGUGCCUGGCAGCGUGGGCUGCCCAUUUUCUAUGAAUACCUGGGUGCCUUGUGUUAGGCCCACAUGAGGACUUCGAGGGCUAAGAGUCAGCUAGCUGCCAUUCUCAAGGCCUAAAUCCAAAACGUAGAUACCCAAACCCCUGCCCAACUGAGGAACAUGCUAGGAGAGAGGAUUACGUAGAUACCUGCCUCUAGGGGUGUCCAAAGACACUGCUUUAAUAAAUGCUGAAGAGUUGUGUUGGGUGGGAUGAGAAUGCCUGCUUCCAGCACUCCAACCUCUCCAGUCACGCUGGCUUUCUGUCACCUCAUUUAGGCUGAUGGACAAUCGGAUAUUCUGUGUGCUAUGGACCAACUUCAGCAGGAGGGACUGAGACAGCCUCACCCAAUACAGAUCUCUGCCGUGUAGUUAAGACGCUCUGCUGCUGAAAACUCUUUUGGGCAGAGGAGGGAAACCUGAGUUUCUGGGUUCCUAGGUGAAUGCUGAGGAGUGUGUGGGGAAAGAGGGUACUAUUACCCCUGCAGAAGGGAUAGGUUAAGUACAUAGGAAAAGGCUCAGGAUUGGGAAUCCCAUGCAAGGUAUCUAGCUUCAACCUAGAGUUGUUAGGGUCCACUGCUAUUUGAGGUGCUGCAAGAGAUGUAUCAGCAUGCCUGGCUAGUUUAUGUGGGGAGUUUUUCACUUAACAGGUGGGCCAGUGCAGAGCCCAUUCUUGGAUACCUGGCUGUUCUGCAUUAUGCAUGGAGGCUGGGUGUCUAAUCUGGAGCUCUGAAUUUGGGCAAAGAGACACUGCAGUGCUCAGCACUGCAGCAUCUGGGCCUUUAUUGAAUCUGGCCUCACUGCAAUGAGUGUGAGUAAUGAUAACAGAGGCGUGAGGGUAGAAUGACUGUACAGGAGAGAGAAAGCUGCACUUGACUUGAUAGAAUGAAGAACAUAUUUGUAAAGGGAUUAAAUUAGUGCUGGGUGCAAGAAUACCACUUAAUGAAGCAAAUGGCUAUACCUCUUUUCAGUGGCAGGAAAAAAAGUGACAUGCCACAGAUUGCCCCCUUUCUAUGCUCACUGUUCUUGCAGAAUAGAUGGCACUGUAACCUGGGUUAGUCAGACGUGGGUGAGGAAUGAAUCCCAGCUCUGAGGCCUCCUGUUUGCUGAGACCACCUGGCUGCAAGCCUCACUGUAAAUAAAGCGACUCUUACCUUGAUUCUCAACUACAGAGCUUACUGUAAGAGGUAUCUUUCUCAUGCACUGGUAGCCCAGGCCAGGAGGGCGGGAGGAAGUAUGUGUGAAACACUGCAGUGUGUUUUUACUGAGAUGUGUGAUUGCCUGUAAGGUGCUCAUGUGGCAGCAAAGUCACUGAAAAAAAAAUGCUAAUAAACAUUGAGUGUCUCUUCUUGAGCAUCUAUUGGAUGCUCUUUAGUCUUCUAUUCAGCAUAUUUUAUUUAUUUUUUCUUUGCUAUAUUUCAUCUUCUUUACAUCUUUUGAUUUCUUCCUCUCCGUAGUUCUCCAUCCUGAUUUUCUUUUUAUUUUAUUUACUGUUCCUUAUUUACUCAUGCACGUACUUAUUCCUUUAGAUCUCCUAAAUACUUUCAUCUUUCUUGUGAUUUGCCAUACAGUUUGGUCACCUGUGUACUGGAGCAACAUAGCUAAGUUGUGGGUUGACUUGCACUUGCAUCACUACCCUGAACUUAAUUGUGUCUGCAGUCAUCUGGAACUGACUACAUGCCAGGACUGAUAAAAGAUGCCGUGCAAACAUGGAUCUCUCGGGCCGUGGCAAGAUGCUUUUGCAGUAUCCUGUCUCUCUAUUGCCUGGACCUCUGGAAGACAGAAGAGUGGGAAUCAACAGUGAUGGUUUUCCUGCAAAUGCAAUUUGAGAACUACUUUGACAGCCGAUAGAAAAAGAACUACCUUGCAGUGUGACCACAGCAAGUGCAUGUUCUUUCUGACAGUGUAUAAUUGCACUGUGUCCCUGGUGAGGAAUGAUGCCAGAAUCGCCAUCUGAUUAUCUGUAUUCUUUUCUCAUAGUUGUUUUAACCAAGUUGUUUCUUUUCCACAAAUGUUCAUGCAAAAAAUGCAAAGAUUCUCCAUGUAGAAUAAGUAGGCCUAUAAAGUAAGGAAUGGCUGGUAUGGAACAAACGGAAAAUUAGAUCUUUCAGCAAUUUUGCUCUUGUAAUUAAGGCCUGUCUGUGGCAGUUCUGAUGCGGGAUACACUUAGUGAGGCUUAUGAGAAUUUUCCCUGUGUGAAGACUGCAGGAUUUAGCCCUAGCAAAUAAUAACGUUCUAACAAUGGUAGCCGUUGGGCUAUAGGUGAGUUUUCUUUGGAGAGGAAAAAAAAGAGGGAGAAGAAGAAAACUUGUCAAAAGUUUGAUGCCAUCUUUCAGUAUUAAGUGACAGAUAAACAGAGGGAAAAAACAAAAGGUGAACUAAAUCACGGUAUGGAUGGAUACAUGCUUUCUGUUAUUGAAUAAACAAAAUUCAGUGAUGUAUAUUAUUCCGUGUAAGCUCUGACACAGCUGGUGUCUGAUGAAGAUUAAUUUCUAAAAAUCAACCAUAAACCUAUGGAUCAGCCAGUAAGACAACGACUUGACAAAUUAUUCACUGCCAAGUGUAUGGUAGUUCCAUGCCCUUAAUCUGCAUCACUGCAGACAGCGUAUUGUUGAAUCCAAUGAAGUUUAAAUCCCACUAUGAAUGUAAUUGUUCUCCACAAGCAGAUUAUGAACAGAGGCCUUUCAUUUCUGUUAAUUUUGUAUGUUUGAGUGAUAAGCUAUUGUAUACAUAUUUUUAAUAACAGGAAAUGUAACAAACAUGCUUAUUUUUAUUAAACUAAUAAAACAGGUAAACCUAUCAAA
Molecule: long non-coding RNA, 10828 nt
Organism: Dromaius novaehollandiae (emu)
Lineage: Eukaryota; Metazoa; Chordata; Aves; Casuariiformes; Dromaiidae
Exons: 2
Source: RefSeq, a predicted model, not a curated record